AAAGCAAUUAUACUCCAAUAAAGAUGUUAAAAAAAAAAAAAAAGGAAAAGAAACAUAGUCCUAUUUGGGAUCCUUAUAUCCCAGUGAUACAAAGGAUUGACCUUUGAUUCAAAAUGACUUGCUGUAUUUUUUCAGAAGUGUGCUUAACAUAUUGGGCCUCAUAUGUGCUAGUUUGUAAGCUGAUAAUAAAGACAAAUAGAAGCAUUUUCAGUGCAAGAUACUCUGGUAUCCUGACAGUUAAUUUAUAUAUUAUACAGGACAGCCGGGUGCAGUACAUUUGGGAAUGUUACAGCCAAAUAAAGACAUCUUUACCCCUCUUCUUUUUUCCUCUCCAUAGACACAUAUAUCAGGGACCCAGGUCAAAUUUCUAGAACAAUUGUUUUCAGCCUUGGCUGCACAUCAGAGUCACCUGUUGGGGUUUUAGAAAUCCCUUUGCCCAAGCUUCACCCCAGAGGAAUUAAAUCAGAAUGUCUAGAGAUGACACCGAGGCUCGCGGGCUCUAGAGUGCAGGCUCAGUAGUUGUGGUGCACGGGCUUAGUUGCUCCACAGCAUGUGGGAUCUUCCUGGACCAGGGCUUGAACCUGUGUCCCCUGCAUUGGCAGGUGGAUUCUUAACCACUGCACCACCAGGGAAGUCGCAGAAAUUGCUUCUUUAAUGAGGGGGCAAGAUUGGAUGAAGAUGGGACACAGAAACAGCUAUAAUUCAGUGAGUGGCGAGUGACCAGAACAUUGAAAGGACAAGGAAUGGUGCCAUAGGAGGACUAUAUAAUGGAGCUAUAUAUUUAGCCUGAAGUGAAGGCAGCAGGUUACUGGGUCAAGGAAAAUGGGGAUUUUUACAGCAAUCCACAGUAUUUGAAAGGCUGCUGGUACUUUUGUGACUUCAGAGAACAAUUCUAAGAGGAAGUGGAAGUUAUGUAGUGAAACAAGUCUUGAUUUGGUAUCAGAACUUUCCUACAUUUGGAGCUCUCAAAUAGUUUCAUAGGAGGUUGCCACAGGCCCUUGUGUGGAUUUCUUCAAGCUCCUACUGCAUGCCCUUGCCCUUUCCAAUAUAAUACUGCUCCUUCAUGCUGAAACAGAAGUCAUCUGAGGUUGUAGAAUGGGGCUAGCUAAGGUUGCUUUGGGGAGGAAAUUCCAUCCUACUCUAAUGGCUUCUGGCUCCACUCUUGAAGGGUGGAGGUUUGCCACCAUUGGAUAACUUCAGAACAAUAUGCCACUGGCUCUGAGGGCAGUUCUAUAGAGAGAAUUUUGGAAAUGGAUUGAUUAAGGGCAAAUAUAUACUACCGGAAUAAGCAUACGUCUUGUGCAAAGGUGACCGCUUUGAAGGUACAGCCCUCAUUUGACUACGUAAAAAUCAGUCUCAUUACUUUAUUCUUAGUUUUCAUUAAAAUCUGAUGCUUACACAGAGCACAGUGAUGAGAAAUUUAAACUCAGUUAUGGCAUUCAGAUUCCAUUUGCUAGGUAAAAAUUUUGUUACAUGCUUAUUUUGCCAUUGCAUGUUGGUCUCUUACCGUUUUUUUCUUGAUUUGGAAGCACAUCUUCCUUCCCUACUGUUACUCUGCAUCUUGUGUAUAGUGAAAUUCUUCUUUUUUUUUUUUUUUUUUUUUUUUUUAAUUGAAGGUGAUCUAUGUGUGUCUGGAAAAGGUAACAUGGUGUUAGGGAAGAAAAUUGUCCCUGAAACUUUGUUUUCAUUACUUAGCAGGUUUUACAGUUAAUGACAGAAGUUUCUCUUGUGGCCUCUCCUCCCAAAGACUGUGCUUAUUUUUCUCCGGUAGUUUCAUGUGACCUUGUUACAAGCUUCAUGUAAUUCCCAAAUAAAUUACAUUUACUGGUUUACUUCUAUCUAGUAUUUUAUUGACAUUUCCAGAUAAGUUUAAUAGGAUGGAGAGAAACAGUGUUCUCUUUAUAGACUCAGUGGGUGAUUUGACCUUAGCAGGUUAACCUUAUCCUGAUGUUGAAGGAAGCUAUUCUUAAUUAGACUCUAUCAGUUUCUCCAUUAUCACCAAGAGAGCCACUGGUCUGUAAUUCUAUAAAUCUUAAUUUGAUUGUUUUUCUUUCUUACAGAAGAGCUACCAUAUUAGAAAAAUUGCAAUAUUUGGAAACAGUUGCUGGUUUUCUGAAUACAUUGCAUAUCCUCAUCUGUAGCUGAGCCAUUUCACACUUUAUUUCCUUCAGAAACUCUCAGUUGAAUACCAUCUGGUCAUGGUAAUUUAUUACUGUGGAAUUUCUCAAGUUGCUCUAUUAUUUCCUCCUAAGAGAUUGCUCUCUGCUACUGCCCCACUGAUUUUCUCAGAAAGUGCCCUUGGAAUAGUCGUUUCCCCACUAUCCUGUACAGCAAAGGUCAAUGCCAAAUGAAACUGAAUUAAACUUCUCUGCUGCUUCUCAUCCUUUUAUUUGUCCUCAUUUCAAGUCCUCACUGAUGGGGAGAAACUCAGCAGUUAGUCCAACCACUCAUGUUGUCUGCUUAGUCCUCAUGGUACCUUUUGUCCUGUUACUUUUCAAAUUCUUUUUUUUCCCUGACAGUGUAUUUUUGGUAUUUAAUUCAGAAAAAAAAGGCAAGUAUUAAAAAAGAUAUUCUAGAUACUUUCAGUUUAUUCAUAAGUGACUCUGGAAUUGUUUCCGGUUUUUUUUUUUUUUUUUCCCAAACUAUCCACAGAUUUCUCUUUUGACUUGUCGAAUAAUGAGCCUCUGUAUAUGUCUCUCAUUGCCACUGUCCUUUUCUGUCUUCUAAGCAGCCUGGAUAGUUUUUAAACUCCCUUACUUGCCUCUCGGAGGGAUGCCAACCAUUUUUUUUCUUCAAAUUUUUAACAUAUACUUUUUAAAGUUUCACCCUUUGGGUUAACAUUAAGAGAUGCCCAUACUAAUUAGAAAACAGCUUUAAUUGUGCCGACAUCCCAAUUGCUGAGUUCCACUCCUACGCAUACUCACCUGCGGGAAUUCCUAUAUGUUAUAUUAAUCUGUUUCUUCUUUUAUAACUGCCCAAAUAAGCCAAGGUACAGCAUAUUAAUUAUUGCUUCCCCACCUUGCACUCUUCUGUCAUUCAUUUGGAUAAUAAUGGACAUAAUUAAAAUCAUUCAUUGCAAAAGCCUUCCUAGAAAAGAUUGCUGAACAGUAAAGGUUAAAAGCAAUUUGCAUUAUUCUUUCAUAGUCUAUGGUUAACAUAACUUUUUUUUUACACCUGAACUUUGUUCAAAUAAUUAUUUUGUUUAUAAAAGGUUACUUAAUGUGCAUUCAAGUGUAAAUUGCUACUAGAAAUAUAUAUUUACCUUUAUACAAAGUACUGUAGCACAGAAUUUUUAAACUCAGGUGUUGAAACAUCAAAAGUUGAAACUUUUAACAUCUCCCAAGUGUGUUGUAAAUAUUUACCAUUUUAAAUUGAAGGAAAAAAAAUCAAGUCUUAAAUAUCACAUUCUGAGUAUAUGCAAUAUAAUCUUUCCUUAAGGUUCAAAUACAAAUACUACCAGUCCCACAGCUACCCAUCUCUGAAUAGAGUGCCUUUUGCUCAGUCUGUAAAGUGAAGUAACAGAUUAUAACAGCAGAGGAAAUAAAUGCUGAUUUUGUUCAUUUUAUGGCUAGCACAUCUUUUCCUUUGCCAGGUAAGGCAGGCUGUUCUAAAAAUAAGUUAGGCAUAUAACUAUUUGGUGCUAGUAUGGAUAUGUUCUUUGAAUUUUUGAAUACAUUAAGAUUCUGUCCAUCCCAAGCUACUUUGUAUGUAUAUGUAUAUGUAUGUGUGUGUGUAUGUGUUUGUGUGUGUAAAUAUAUAUAUAUAUAUAUAUAUGGCCUUCCAAGAAAUAUCUACCAUGUUAUAAUUCUAAAACCUGUCUUUCUACCUUCAUCCCUACCAAUUCCCUUUAUUCUUUAACAUAUACAAAAUGUAAUAUUCAAAAAUAAAUAAGAUCUUAUUUUUAGUGCCUGCUGUUAUAAAAGUUAUCCCUCUGUAGUAAGUAACCUUUAUGGCUGUGUCAGGCAGUUUACACUAAAACAACUUUCAUGAUAAUAUGUAACAAUUCACUGAAAAUUCCUUCUGGAAAGGUAAGUCUGAGUCUUUUUCUGUUUAUCCAUUUAGUAGUAAGACUAUUUAAUAACUAUAUUGCCCAAGCAGAUAUUUGUGUGUAGAAAAUACCAGUAUCAUUCUAUAUUUGCCAUGGUUGGAAAGUGGGAUUUUCCUGUCUUAGCUGAAGUCCCAACAUUUAUGUAUUAAAACUGCUUGGAACAAGAAUAUGUUAUAAAGUUUGUAGGGCUUGUCUUCUGACAAAAUCUCUUUCAGAAAGUUAAUAUUGUAUUGGUUGAUGUCUCAAACAUAUGUAGGUAAAUAUGUAGAAAUAUUCAUAGGUCACAGUUUAAAGUUACAUAAAAACCAGGUGAGGUAGGCAUCUCACAGUGCAAGACCUAAGGUAUGGACAAUAAUCAGGGUUCUCUGAAGUCGCCUGUACUUCUUUUUCUAGAAAGUUAUUCUUUCACUGGAAAAGUCUUAGGAUAGACUUUCUUAUGAAUUUGAUUCCAACUUCACUCAAGCAAGCAAAAUUUAGUUCAGGUUUUGGGCAGUUUCAGUCCUGAUAUUUUCCUCUUCCUUUAUUCACUGGUCUUUUCAGUGGAGUUUGGAAUGGAGAGGAUGCAUGUGUUAAUAAGCAGGGUUCUCCAGAAAAACAGAACCAACAUGAUACAAAAGAAGUGUAUUAUGAGGAGCUGGCUCAGAUGACUAUGGAGGCUAAGAAGUCCCACAAUCUGCUGUCUGUAACUUGGAGACCCAGGAAAGCCAGUAGUGUAUUUCAGUCCAAGUUCAAAGGCUUCAGAACCAGGGGAUCCAAUGACGUACAUCCCAGUCCAAAAGCAGGAGAAAAUGAGGUGAGAUGUCACAGUUCAAGCAAUGAGGCAAGAAAAAAGGGAGAAAUUAAAUAUCAUACAGAUUGUACAUACAAUGCUAAGAUGUUUCUAAAUGAAGAAACGUGAAAAAAUGUGUUAGUUUUGGAAUGUGGGAAGAGUUCCUGUUGUCCACAGUAGUCUACCUAUACCCCAUCACCCACAUAAACUCUGCUAUUAUAUCAUUUGAACAUCUUUAUCAGAGAUUAUGCAAAUGCUGUUGGUACUAUGAUGAUUUUUCAGAGUGUUUCUGUUUUUCCUUGGAAAACACUGUCACACAAGUGGUCAUUGAAAUGAGCUGUCAUUUAAUUUGGUAAUAGUUAUUUGUGUCCAUAUGCUACUAAGUGAAUUAAUUAUAUAGGCAUACAGUUUACGACUCUUUUAUUUUCUACUUUUAUUCUCCAAAUAAGAAGUUUGAAACAGAUAAAAUAGAAAUGUCAGAAAAUUCUCACUGUUGUCCAUGAGUAAAAAAUAAUAAUAAUUAAAAUACCAAGGAUUUAAAUUUCAUAUCUUUGAAAUGAUACUUUUUUUUUCCAUCCUAAUUACAAUUCCUCAAAAAUGAAAAAGGGAUUGAAACAAUGUGUCUGGUAGUUGAUGAAGUGCAAUUGAAAUGAAUUGGAAUGAAACUUAUUUUUCAGGAGGAAGAAAACCAGUUACCCAAGGGCAAUAGAAAAGUAAAUACUAGUAAGGUACAUUUUGCCUUAAAAUACACAUACACUAGUUUCCUAGGCAAGGAGGAGCCAAGGGAAGGGAAACGUGUCUUUAAACCUCCAUUUUAAUCGUUAUCUAAAAAAAAAUUUAACCUUUCU
Molecule: long non-coding RNA, 5665 nt
Organism: Orcinus orca (killer whale)
Lineage: Eukaryota; Metazoa; Chordata; Mammalia; Artiodactyla; Delphinidae
Exons: 3
Source: RefSeq, a predicted model, not a curated record